Molecule: small nuclear RNA, 107 nt
Organism: Meriones unguiculatus (Mongolian gerbil)
Lineage: Eukaryota; Metazoa; Chordata; Mammalia; Rodentia; Muridae
Source: Ensembl
GUGCUCACUUUGGCAGCAUAUAUACUAAAAUUGGAAUGAUACAGGGAAUAUUAACAUGGCCCUUGUGUAGGGAUAUCAUGAAGAUUUAUGAAGUAUUUCAUAUUUAA